Molecule: small RNA, 543 nt
Filed under: Pan troglodytes (chimpanzee)
Lineage: Eukaryota; Metazoa; Chordata; Mammalia; Primates; Hominidae
Description: processed transcript
Source: RNAcentral
GCGUCUCUCCAAGUCGACACUUUUCCUGAUCCCACUCUUUGGAAUUCACUACAUCAUCUUCAACUUCCUGCCAGACAAUGCUGGCCUGGGCAUCCGCCUCCCCCUGGAGCUGGGACUGGGUUCCUUCCAGGUGAGGACUGAGAUCUCACGGAAGUGGCAUGGCCAUGACCCUGAGCUUCUGCCAGCCUGGAGGACCCGUGCUAAGUGGACCACGCCUUCCCGCUCGGCGGCAAAGGUGCUGACAUCUAUGUGCUAGGCUGCCUUAUCACGCCACUGGAGUCCACACUUGAAUUUGGGCAGCUACCACGGGUCUGCCAUGCUCUGGAGGAGCAAGGGGGCCACAUCCCCACCCCAGCUGUUACCCAGCCCGGGGCAGGUGCAGCCCUUCCUCCCUGUCUCUGCAUCUGACUCUCUUUUGAGGUCCCUGUAUGUCUACCUCUGACUUCUGUGGUCCCUCUGUGUCUGCUCUCAUCUAUUCCUCUUCCUGGGGCCUGGGGCUCUAGCCCAAGGCUCAGAGGAGCCAAUAAACCUGUAAAUGAAUAG